AUUGAACGCUGGCGGAAUGCUUUACACAUGCAAGUCGAACGGCAGCAUAGGUGCUCGCACCCGAUGGCGAGUGGCGAACGGGUGAGUAAUACAUCGGAACGUGCCCAGUCGUGGGGGAUAACGUAGCGAAAGUUACGCUAAUACCGCGUACGAUCUAAGGAUGAAAGCGGGGGACCGUAAGGCCUCGCGCGAUUGGAGCGGCCGAUGUCAGAUUAGGUAGUUGGUGAGGUAAAGGCUCACCAAGCCGACGAUCUGUAGCUGGUCUGAGAGGACGACCAGCCACACUGGGACUGAGACACGGCCCAGACUCCUACGGGAGGCAGCAGUGGGGAAUUUUGGACAAUGGACGCAAGUCUGAUCCAGCCAUUCCGCGUGCAGGACGAAGGCCUUCGGGUUGUAAACUGCUUUUGUACGGAACGAAAAAGCUCUUACUAAUACUAGGAGUCCAUGACGGUACCGUAAGAAUAAGCACCGGCUAACUACGUGCCAGCCGCCGCAGUAA
RNAcentral lists this ribosomal RNA (502 nucleotides) under uncultured bacterium. RNAcentral describes it as "partial 16S ribosomal RNA". It matches the Rfam family "Bacterial small subunit ribosomal RNA", at positions 30 to 523 of the family's 1533-position model. The record is from RNAcentral.